Malus domestica (apple) is the source of this 1176-nucleotide non-coding RNA. The record is from RefSeq and is a predicted model, not a curated record. Lineage: Eukaryota; Viridiplantae; Streptophyta; Magnoliopsida; Rosales; Rosaceae.
AAAAUUUUUUCCUCACCGAGAUUCUCGCUUUCUUCACUCUCUCUCUCUUUUAUCUCUCCUUCCUAAAUUCAUUCCAAGCUCUCUCCGUUUCUCUCUCUCUAAUUUUUUUUUAUUUUUAUUAAAUCCUUAAUCCCAUGACCGCCGGCCAUUUCGAUCCCACCACCUACAUUGUACGUGUUCUGCUUUUAUACGCAGAUCCAUCAUAAAACCAAACAACAAUCCAUCCCACAGAAAACUGAAGGACCCAAUGGCCGGAGCAGUAGCCGGCUGAGUCGACCGUUCAUCGGAGCUACUGCAAUUGCUCAACGACGUCGUGGGUGCGAGCAAAUUCGCCGACGGCGUUACCGGCGUUUUUCAGAAGGGCUGCACCUAUCUAAUCCGUCGGAUUACCCUCCUGACGCAUUUGUUCGAAGGGAUAAGGGUCUUUAAAGGCCGCAAAUUUGGACCGUCGGAUGCGUCGACUUCUUCCACGAAUUCCAGUCCGACAGAAUCCUUGGUAUCUGAACUGGUGGUCGCCCUCCAGGCCGCCAAGCGCCUCGUUUUGCUUGCCGGCAACUUCACUUCCAAUUUGGCCCCUCCCGGUCUCCACCAAUUACAAUGACGAAGCGAGCAAGAAGAUAAGCUUCCAAUUCCAAUGCGUGACGUGGAAAUUGGAGAAGGCGCUGGGCGACAAUACGUCGACAGUUCGACAUCUCCGAGGAAGUUGAAGAACAGAUUUUAGGUUGAAUUGGUUAGAGCCCAGUUGAGAAGAGCAAUAGAAAGAUAUGGGUCUUCCAUGAAAGAGAGAACGGUGUCGUUUCAUUCCCUCUCCUAGUCUCUGGUGGAGUCUGGAAAUGUAGAGAACAAUGCAACGACGAUUGGCAGUAUUCCCAAAAGCUUUAGUGCUGAUUCUGCUGAUGACAUUGUGAUUCGUAAAUCCGAAACCCUUCGUGCUGCUGACUCUGCUGAUGACAUCCAUGUUGAUGAUCGUGGCGAUAUCAAGAAGCCUGAUGCCAACUCAUCUGCAAUUCCUGACGAUUUUAUAUGCCCAAUAUCUUUGGAACUCAUGAGGGAUCCUGUUAUUGUGGCCACAGGUCAGGUGUGUGUGUGUGCUAAAAAUGCUAUCUUUUAUUCUUGUUUUUCGUUCAUCAGAAUUCAGGGUUUUCCUUUUAAUAGGUUGAUGCCUAAAAUUUGAUA